RNAcentral lists this ribosomal RNA (451 nucleotides) under uncultured bacterium. RNAcentral describes it as "partial 16S ribosomal RNA". It matches the Rfam family "Bacterial small subunit ribosomal RNA", at positions 354 to 796 of the family's 1533-position model. The record is from RNAcentral.
GUGGGGAAUAUUGGACAAUGGGCGCAAGCCUGAUCCAGCCAUGCCGCGUGUGUGAAGAAGGCCUUUUGGUUGUAAAGCACUUUAAGCGAGGAGGAGGCUCCUUUAGUUAAUACCUAAAGAGAGUGGACGUUACUCGCAGAAUAAGCACCGACUAACUCUGUGCCAGCAGCCGCGGUAAUACAGAGGGUGCGAGCGUUAAUCGGAUUUACUGGGCGUAAAGCGUGCGUAGGCGGCUUUUUAAGUCGGAUGUGAAAUCCCUGAGCUUAACUUAGGAAUUGCAUUCGAUACUGGAAAGCUAGAGUAUGGGAGAGGAUGGUAGAAUUCCAGGUGUAGCGGUGAAAUGCGUAGAGAGCUGGAGGAAUACCGAUGGCGAAGGCAGCCAUCUGGCCUAAUACUGACGCUGAGGUACGAAAGCAUGGGGAGCAAACAGGAUUAGAUACCCUGGUAGUCC